CUGAACCUGUUUAUAUUGACUAAGGCCAUAGGGUAUCUCAGAUGAGGCCCAUGUAAGUGAACGUAUCUGACAAUGUACAUUCUUCCCCUUUAUGAAAAUAAAACAUCCAUACAGAAAAUGUGUACCUUAGCAAGCUCCUGUCUAACCCGUACUCCUGAUUUUCACUUACAUGAGAACCCAUGGAGCAAGAAAGCAUAGGACAUAACUCUGCCUCAUCUCUAUGUUGAAGUGCUCAUAUUGAAAGCUAGCAUACAGCAAAGCAUACUGGAAAUGUAAACUCAGGACAGAAGCUAAGUCAAUAGAAGUAAAAUAAAACGUUUUAUUUAGGAAAGUCA
Molecule: long non-coding RNA, 335 nt
Filed under: Numida meleagris (helmeted guineafowl)
Lineage: Eukaryota; Metazoa; Chordata; Aves; Galliformes; Numididae
Description: lncRNA (ENSNMEG00000005229.1)
Source: RNAcentral